This 504-nucleotide ribosomal RNA is filed under the name Oenococcus oeni. Its description in RNAcentral is "bacterial SSU rRNA". It matches the Rfam family "Bacterial small subunit ribosomal RNA", at positions 661 to 1164 of the family's 1533-position model. The record is from RNAcentral. Lineage: Bacteria; Bacillati; Bacillota; Bacilli; Lactobacillales; Lactobacillaceae.
GUGGAACUCCAUGUGUAGCGGUGAAAUGCGUAGAUAUGUGGAAGAACACCAGUGGCGAAAGCGGCUUGCUAGAUCGUAACUGACGUUGAGGCUCGAAAGUAUGGGUAGCAAACGGGAUUAGAUACCCCGGUAGUCCAUACCGUAAACGAUGGGUGCUAGUUGUUAAGAGGUUUCCGCCUCCUAGUGACGUAGCAAACGCAUUAAGCACCCCGCCUGAGGAGUACGGCCGCAAGGCUAAAACUUAAAGGAAUUGACGGGGACCCGCACAAGCGGUGGAGCAUGUGGUUUAAUUCGAAGAUACGCGAAAAACCUUACCAGGUCUUGACAUACCAAUGAUCGCUUUUGUAAUGAAAGCUUUUCUUCGGAACAUUGGAUACAGGUGGUGCAUGGUCGUCGUCAGCUCGUGUCGUGAGAUGUUGGGUUAAGUCCCGCAACGAGCGCAACCCUUGUUAUUAGUUGCCAGCAUUUAGUUGGGCACUCUAAUGAGACUGCCGGUGAUAAACC